Molecule: ribosomal RNA, 2924 nt
Filed under: Carnobacterium maltaromaticum
Lineage: Bacteria; Bacillati; Bacillota; Bacilli; Lactobacillales; Carnobacteriaceae
Description: bacterial LSU rRNA
Rfam family: Bacterial large subunit ribosomal RNA
Source: RNAcentral
UUAGGUUAAGUUAAUAAGGGCGCACGGUGGAUGCCUUGGCACUAAGAGCCGAUGAAGGACGGGACUAACUCCGAUAUGCUUUGGGGAGCUGUAAGUAAGCUUUGAUCCAAAGAUUUCCGAAUGGGGGAACCCAGCAUUUUUUAUAGAAUGUUACUGCUAGCUGAAUACAUAGGCUAGUAGAGGUAGACGCAGAGAACUGAAACAUCUAAGUACCUGCAGGAAGAGAAAGAAAAUUCGAUUCCCUGAGUAGCGGCGAGCGAAACGGGAAGAGCCCAAACCAAAGAGCUUGCUCUUUGGGGUUGUAGGACACGACAUUAAGAGUCAUAAAUGAGUUUUGUAGAAGAAGCGAUCUGGAAAGGUCCGCCGAAGAGGGUAAAAGCCCGUAAUCGAAACAAAGUUCACUCUGUUGUGUAUCCUGAGUACGGCGGAACACGAGAAAUUCCGUCGGAAUCCGCGGGGACCAUCCCGCAAGGCUAAAUACUCCUUAGUGACCGAUAGUGAACCAGUACCGUGAGGGAAAGGUGAAAAGAACCCCGGAAGGGGAGUGAAAGAGCUCCUGAAACCGUGUGCUUACAAAUAGUUAGAGCCCGUUAAUGGGUGAUAGCGUGCCUUUUGUAGAAUGAACCGGCGAGUUACGAUUACAUGCGAGGUUAAGUUGAUAAGACGGAGCCGUAGCGAAAGCGAGUCUGAAUAGGGCGAAUGAGUAUGUGGUCGUAGACCCGAAACCAAGUGACCUACCCAUGUCCAGGUUGAAGGUGCGGUAAUACGCACUGGAGGACCGAACCCACGUAUGUUGAAAAAUGCGGGGAUGAGGUGUGGGUAGCGGAGAAAUUCCAAUCGAACUUGGAGAUAGCUGGUUCUCUCCGAAAUAGCUUUAGGGCUAGCCUCGGAAUUAAGAAUCAUGGAGGUAGAGCCACUGUUUGGACUAGGGGCCCUUCUAGGGUUACCGAAUUCAGAUAAACUCCGAAUGCCAUUGAUUUAUAUCCGGGAGUCAGACUGCGAGUGAUAAGAUCCGUAGUCGAAAGGGAAACAGCCCAGACCACCAGCUAAGGUCCCAAAGUUACUAUUAAGUGGAAAAGGAUGUGGGGUUGCUUAGACAACUAGGAUGUUGGCUCAGAAGCAGCCAUCAUUUAAAGAGUGCGUAAUAGCUCACUAGUCGAGUGACCCUGCGCCGAAAAUUUACCGGGGCUAAAUAGUACACCGAAGCUGUGGAUAGAACCUUAGGGUUCUAUGGUAGGAGAGCGUUCUAAGGGCAUCGAAGCUAGACCGUGAGGACUAGUGGAGCGCUUAGAAGUGAGAAUGCCGGUAUGAGUAGCGAAAGACGGGUGAGAAUCCCGUCCACCGUAUGACUAAGGUUUCCUGGGGAAGGCUCGUCCUCCCAGGGUUAGUCGGGACCUAAGCCGAGGCCGAUAGGCGUAGGCGAUGGACAACAGGUUGAUAUUCCUGUACCAGUUUCUUUUGUUUGAACAAUGGAGGGACGCAGGAGGCUAAGAAAUGCGCACUGUUGGAUAUGUGCGUCUAAGCAAUGAGUCUUGAGGUGAGUUAAAUGCUUGCUUCUAUACGGACAAGUUGUGAUGGGGAGGGAAAUUACAGUACCGAAGUUUCUGAUGUCACACUGCCAAGAAAAGCUUCUAGUUAGAAAGAAAUUGCCCGUACCGCAAACCGACACAGGUAGUCGAGGAGAGUAUCCUAAGGUGUGCGAGAGAACUCUCGUUAAGGAACUCGGCAAAAUGACCCCGUAACUUCGGGAGAAGGGGUGCUGAUCGAAAGAUCAGCCGCAGUGAAUAGGCCCAAGCGACUGUUUAUCAAAAACACAGGUCUCUGCAAAAUCGAAAGAUGACGUAUAGGGGCUGACGCCUGCCCGGUGCUGGAAGGUUAAGAGGAUUGGUUAGCUUCGGCGAAGCUAAGAAUUGAAGCCCCAGUAAACGGCGGCCGUAACUAUAACGGUCCUAAGGUAGCGAAAUUCCUUGUCGGGUAAGUUCCGACCCGCACGAAAGGCGUAACGAUUUGGGCACUGUCUCAACGAGAGACUCGGUGAAAUUAUAGUACCUGUGAAGAUGCAGGUUACCCGCGACAGGACGGAAAGACCCCAUGGAGCUUUACUGCAGUUUGAUAUUGAGUGUUUGUACAGCUUGUACAGGAUAGGUAGGAGCCAUAGAAGUCAGGACGCCAGUCUUGAUGGAGGCAUUGGUGGGAUACUACCCUUGCUGUAUGACCACUCUAACCCUAGCCACUAAUCGUGGCUGGAGACAGUGUCAGACGGGCAGUUUGACUGGGGCGGUCGCCUCCUAAAGAGUAACGGAGGCGCCCAAAGGUUCCCUCAGAAUGGUUGGAAAUCAUUCGUAGAGUGUAAAGGCAGAAGGGAGCUUGACUGCGAGACCUACAAGUCGAGCAGGGACGAAAGUCGGGCUUAGUGAUCCGGUGGUUCCGCAUGGAAGGGCCAUCGCUCAACGGAUAAAAGCUACCCUGGGGAUAACAGGCUUAUCUCCCCCAAGAGUCCACAUCGACGGGGAGGUUUGGCACCUCGAUGUCGGCUCAUCGCAUCCUGGGGCUGUAGUCGGUCCCAAGGGUUGGGCUGUUCGCCCAUUAAAGCGGUACGCGAGCUGGGUUCAGAACGUCGUGAGACAGUUCGGUCCCUAUCCGUCGCGGGCGCAGGAAAUUUGAGAGGAGCUGUCCUUAGUACGAGAGGACCGGGAUGGACACACCGCUGGUGUACCAGUUGUUCUGCCAAGAGCAUCGCUGGGUAGCUAUGUGUGGAAGGGAUAAACGCUGAAAGCAUCUAAGCGUGAAGCCCCCUCGAGAUGAGAUUUCCCAUCACGUAAGUGAGUAAGACCCCUGAGAGAUGAUCAGGUAGAUAGGUUGGAAGUGGAAGUACAGCGAUGUAUGGAGCGGACCAAUACUAAUCGGUCGAGGACUUAACCAAG